ACACAUGCAAGUCGAGGGGCAGCAUAAUGGAUAGCAAUAUCUAUGGUGGCGACCGGCGCACGGGUGCGUAACGCGUAUGCAACCUACCUUUAACAGGGGGAUAACACUGAGAAAUUGGUACUAAUACCCCAUAAUAUCAUAGAAGGCAUCUUUUAUGGUUGAAAAUUCCGAUGGUUAGAGAUGGGCAUGCGUUGUAUUAGCUAGUUGGUGGGGUAACGGCUCACCAAGGCGACGAUACAUAGGGGGACUGAGAGGUUAACCCCCCACACUGGUACUGAGACACGGACCAGACUCCUACGGGAGGCAGCAGUGAGGAAUAUUGGUCAAUGGACGCAAGUCUGAACCAGCCAUGCCGCGUGCAGGAUGACGGCUCUAUGAGUUGUAAACUGCUUUUGUACGAGGGUAAACGCAGAUACGUGUAUCUGUCUGAAAGUAUCGUACGAAUAAGGAUCGGCUAACUCCGUGCCAGCAGCCGCGGUAAUACGGAGGAUUCAAGCGUUAUCCGGAUUUAUUGGGUUUAAAGGGUGCGUAGGCGGUUUGAUAAGUUAGAGGUGAAAUUUCGGGGCUCAACCCUGAACGUGCCUCUAAUACUGUUGAGCUAGAGAGUAGUUGCGGUAGGCGGAAUGUAUGGUGUAGCGGUGAAAUGCUUAGAGAUCAUACAGAACACCGAUUGCGAAGGCAGCUUACCAAACUAUAUCUGACGUUGAGGCACGAAAGCGUGGGGAGCAAACAGGAUUAGAUACCCUGGUAGUCCACGCAGUAAACGAUGAUAACUCGUUGUCGGCGAUACACAGUCGGUGACUAAGCGAAAGCGAUAAGUUAUCCACCUGGGGAGUACGUUCGCAAGAAUGAAACUCAAAGGAAUUGACGGGGGCCCGCACAAGCGGAGGAACAUGUGGUUUAAUUCGAUGAUACGCGAGGAACCUUACCCGGGCUUGAAAG
RNAcentral lists this ribosomal RNA (942 nucleotides) under uncultured bacterium. RNAcentral's name for it is "bacterial SSU rRNA". It matches the Rfam family "Bacterial small subunit ribosomal RNA", at positions 51 to 987 of the family's 1533-position model. The record is from RNAcentral.